AUAACUUUAGCAUUAUAUAUACUAAAAUUGGAAUGAUACAGAGAAGGUUAGCAUGGCCCCUGUGCAAGGAUGCCAUGAAAAUUCAUGACACAUGACAUAUAUUU
Small nuclear RNA from Monodelphis domestica (gray short-tailed opossum), 104 nucleotides. Lineage: Eukaryota; Metazoa; Chordata; Mammalia; Didelphimorphia; Didelphidae. The record is from Ensembl.